RNAcentral lists this ribosomal RNA (657 nucleotides) under Ligilactobacillus salivarius. Its description in RNAcentral is "bacterial SSU rRNA". It matches the Rfam family "Bacterial small subunit ribosomal RNA", at positions 57 to 684 of the family's 1533-position model. The record is from RNAcentral. Lineage: Bacteria; Bacillati; Bacillota; Bacilli; Lactobacillales; Lactobacillaceae.
GCAGUCGAACGAAACUUUCUUACACCGAAUGCUUGCAUUCAUCGUAAGAAGUUGAGUGGCGGACGGGUGAGUAACACGUGGGUAACCUGCCUAAAAGAAGGGGAUAACACUUGGAAACAGGUGCUAAUACCGUAUAUCUCUAAGGAUCGCAUGAUCCUUAGAUGAAAGAUGGUUCUGCUAUCGCUUUUAGAUGGACCCGCGGCGUAUUAACUAGUUGGUGGGGUAACGGCCUACCAAGGUGAUGAUACGUAGCCGAACUGAGAGGUUGAUCGGCCACAUUGGGACUGAGACACGGCCCAAACUCCUACGGGAGGCAGCAGUAGGGAAUCUUCCACAAUGGACGCAAGUCUGAUGGAGCAACGCCGCGUGAGUGAAGAAGGUCUUCGGAUCGUAAAACUCUGUUGUUAGAGAAGAACACGAGUGAGAGUAACUGUUCAUUCGAUGACGGUAUCUAACCAGCAAGUCACGGCUAACUACGUGCCAGCAGCCGCGGUAAUACGUAGGUGGCAAGCGUUGUCCGGAUUUAUUGGGCGUAAAGGGAACGCAGGCGGUCUUUUAAGUCUGAUGUGAAAGCCUUCGGCUUAACCGGAGUAGUGCAUUGGAAACUGGAAGACUUGAGUGCAGAAGAGGAGAGUGGAACUCCAUGUGUAGCGGUGA